Molecule: long non-coding RNA, 1299 nt
Organism: Choloepus didactylus (southern two-toed sloth)
Lineage: Eukaryota; Metazoa; Chordata; Mammalia; Pilosa; Megalonychidae
Exons: 4
Source: RefSeq, a predicted model, not a curated record
CCCGCUCCGCUCCCCUCCCCCUGCCCAAAAAGACACCGGUCGCCUCCCGGAGUGGCGCCUCCAGUCGCGGCGGCGGCGGCGGUGGCGGCGGACGGAGGGCGCGAGCGGGCGGCCGCGGCGGCUGCAGCCGGAGGGGCGCUGAUGCGGCGCCUGGACCUUCGCUGCGCGACUUCAGGGGCGUCGGCCGAGUUGGCACUCCGCGAUGCAGCUCCUGAAGGCGCUCUGGGCACUCGCCGGGGCCGCGCUCUGCUGCUUCCUCGUCCUCGUCAUCCACUCGCAGUUCCUGAAAGAAGGGCCUUGGCAACUUCAGCUGCUUCUCUGCCUGAUCAAGGAGCCGCUGGGCGCCUGGGAAGCAGGGAAUGAACAGUUGGAGGAGGCGCAUGUUUGGGUCUCAGUGCUUUCUUCUGAGGUUGGAAGCCCCAGUCAGGUCAUGGUUUUCUGUGCUGCCGGGAUUUUCUCUCACUUGUAAGCUGUGGUUGGUGAUGGAGCCGAGCUACCGCCUGUCCCAAUUGCCCAUGGCGGGGGGCUCCCUCGGACUCACCCCUGGAUGGACUGGCUGGCUGCUGGGUGUGUCGGGGACACAGCCACAUUCCCAGGGUCUGCAUUGAAAGGAGACAACCCUAUUAGGGGUGAAGAAUGGGGGACCCGCGGAGCCGUUUUGCCACACUUUGGCUUUUGUGUGGAGCUGCAGGACACCCCAUGGCUAAUCCACGCCCCUUGGGCCGGUCUGUCGGCCAGUGUUCCUGAUGCAGAACCCCGGAAGAGGCCCUCUGUGGUCUGGGGCUGCAGCUGCAGCUGGGGGUGUCUCAGUCGGUACCGGGCCUGCCUGCCAGCAGGGCCCGGCCGGGUGGGCAGAGGCCCGGGGGACCAGCCCAGGACAUGGGCUGCAGUGGACAGGGACACUGAGGACAGGUGCGGCCUGCCUGGCCCUGGGCAGCCUGCCGUCCUCCCCUCUGUCUCCCUUGGGUGCCCCCGGCUCCUCUGCUGCGGAGACCCUCCUUUGCUUCUGAUGGGAGGGCAGGUGUGUUGCUUUGGUGACCACAGCCCACAUGGCUGGGGUGGGCCCGUGGGGAUGUGGGAAGCUCGUUUAAAGCCGAGCCGCUUCACUGGGGAGCGGAGGGCGUUGGAUUGGUGUGCGCCGAGGGGACGGGGGGCAGCCGUGUCUUUACCUCCUUAGGUGCUCUGCUCUCAAAGCACAGAAUUAUAAAACUGCUUUCCACCUGCCCUUUGCAAAGACUUUAUCCUGUUUUUUUCCACGUCUUUUAAUCACUUGACAGAUCAUGGCACUGCAGCGGAGGU